Molecule: long non-coding RNA, 361 nt
Organism: Lycium barbarum (goji berry)
Lineage: Eukaryota; Viridiplantae; Streptophyta; Magnoliopsida; Solanales; Solanaceae
Exons: 3
Source: RefSeq, a predicted model, not a curated record
UAACAACGUUAACGCUAUUGUGUUUUAUUUAUUUCAAGGAAGAAUAAUGUAAUCUUUCUCAAGAACAACGUAUGGAUUUUGCUUUAUAUUUAGAUCCCGUUGUUCCGUUCUGUCGUGUUGUCGAAUCCGGGCUUUCUUCAAAGCGAAGUAAGGUGGAAAAAGAAUAGUUCUUCGCAUAUAAGGUUUAUCAUAUUAAUUGUGGAAGUUCUUGGCUGGACUGAGCUCUUGAACGACGUAAGGUACAGAUAGUCGGUUUGGUGACCCUUCAGCAUAGGACUUCUACUCGGCUGUCUUGGAGAGCUCCGUUGUUCCGGAGUCUAGACUUUUGGUACAAAUCUUAUGAUAUAUAUGUAUAUGUUUA